UGAUAUACGGUGGAGGCAGCGAGGGUAAUACAGGGGUGGAAAUGGUGUGUUGGAAUUGAUCGGCUUGAAGGGCCAGUAGGCGUCCAACUAAGUCGGGCGUGAAAUUCCCAGGCAUAACCUGGGAACGGCGUCGGAUGCUGGUGGGCUGGAAUGCGGGAGAGGGAUGCAGAAUUCCAGGUGUAGCGGUGAAAUGCGUAGAUAGCUGGAGGAAUACCGGUGGCGAAGGCGGCAUCCUGGACCGACAUUGACGCUGAACGGCGAAAGCUAGGGGAGCAAACGGGAUUAGAUACCCCGGUAGUC
This 300-nucleotide ribosomal RNA is filed under the name uncultured Halobiforma sp. RNAcentral's name for it is "bacterial SSU rRNA". The stretch from base 52 to 300 matches the Rfam family "Bacterial small subunit ribosomal RNA", at positions 547 to 795 of the family's 1533-position model. The record is from RNAcentral. Lineage: Archaea; Methanobacteriati; Methanobacteriota; Halobacteria; Halobacteriales; Natrialbaceae.